UGGGGGCAACCCUGAUCCAGCAAUGCCGCGUGUGUGAAGAAGGCCUGCGGGUUGUAAAGCACUUUCAGUAGAGAAGAAAAGCCUCGGGUUAAUACCCCGGAGUCUUGACGUAACCUACAGAAGAAGCACCGGCUAACUCCGUG
This 143-nucleotide ribosomal RNA is filed under the name uncultured bacterium. Its description in RNAcentral is "partial 16S ribosomal RNA". It matches the Rfam family "Bacterial small subunit ribosomal RNA", at positions 372 to 507 of the family's 1533-position model. The record is from RNAcentral.